This 447-nucleotide ribosomal RNA is filed under the name uncultured bacterium. RNAcentral's name for it is "bacterial SSU rRNA". It matches the Rfam family "Bacterial small subunit ribosomal RNA", at positions 354 to 796 of the family's 1533-position model. The record is from RNAcentral.
GUUAAGAAUUUUGCGCAAUGGGCGCAAGCCUGACGCAGCGACGCCGCGUGGACGAUGAAGGUCUUCGGAUUGUAAAGUCCAGUAAGCAGGGACGAAUAAGCAGAGGGUAAUAUUCUCUGUGAUGACGGUACCUGUCUAAAGCCUCGGCUAACUACGUGCCAGCAGCCGCGGUAAUACGUAUGAGGCAAGCGUUGUUCGGAAUUAUUGGGCAUAAAGGGCGUGUAGGCGGGGAAUUAAGUUAGGUGUGAAAGCCAUGGGCUUAACCCGUGAAUUGCACCUAAUACUGGUUCUCUUGAGUUCGGGAGAGGAGAGCGGAAUUCCCGGUGUAGCGGUGAAAUGCGUAGAUAUCGGGAAGAACACCAGUGGCGAAGGCGGCUCUCUGGCCUAGAACUGACGCUAAGGCGCGAAAGCGUGGGGAGCGAACGGGAUUAGAAACCCCAGUAGUCC